Long non-coding RNA from Anopheles aquasalis, 625 nucleotides. RefSeq lists it as uncharacterized. NCBI's taxonomy places the organism in Eukaryota, Metazoa, Arthropoda, Insecta, Diptera, Culicidae. The record is from RefSeq and is a predicted model, not a curated record.
CAUUUAUUGUCGAAAUCUCACCCGAGUUGGACGUGUGAAAUAUAAAUUUAUGGUAUCGAAAAACAUUGAAAAAAAGGUGUACCUCGCUGCAUGAAGGUUGUCCUAUCUUGAACUAAACAUUCCGCAAGUGUAUCUCUUUCGAUACUGAGCCUGUACAACAUUCUGCCAGAAACAGCGAACAGCGAAAUCCAAUCGCCAUUAGUUUUGGUUGAAAAUGAGCUGUUAUCCAUAUUGCUGCGAUUACUUCGGCGGUGGAUGUGCCCCAGCAGCGCCAUGUUACAGUGGCGGCCGAGCGUAUUGCUGUUACGGUGGAUGCCCAUCGCCAUGCUAUGAAAAUUACCCCUGCUGUCCGCCCUCCUGCCCAACCUAUUCCUGUCCACCGUGCUUCAGUGCAACAGCCCUGUGCCAGCGGGCUAGGAGGACGCGAUACAUGAUACUGAAGAAUGCGCUGAUGUAUGAUUGAGAAUACGACAACGACGUCGACAAACGACGGCAACAACGGCGACGAAUUCUAAUUGCUGCCCUGCAACUAGAUUACGAUGGCACUGGCGAGUAAUGAAGUUCAACGAGAGUUCAGGCGUUGUCAAUCAUCCGCUGUGUUAAUGUUAACAAAUUAAUAAACUCA